UGGACAGAUUAUUGUAUUCGACUGUAUUUAUGGUGUGAAACAAGGGAUUACACUGUUUUUAAACGGAAAGUAUAUCAAUUAACAUAAUAGACUCCU
Nicotiana sylvestris (wood tobacco) is the source of this 96-nucleotide non-coding RNA. NCBI's taxonomy places the organism in Eukaryota, Viridiplantae, Streptophyta, Magnoliopsida, Solanales, Solanaceae. The record is from Rfam.